Long non-coding RNA from Seriola aureovittata, 814 nucleotides. RefSeq lists it as uncharacterized. The record is from RefSeq and is a predicted model, not a curated record. Lineage: Eukaryota; Metazoa; Chordata; Actinopteri; Carangiformes; Carangidae. The transcript is spliced from 3 exons.
UCACUCGUAAACUAAGAUAUAUAAUAAUAUAAAAUGUAAUGUGGGAUAUCAUAGUGUUAAGGCCGCUACUGAUGGUAAAAUAAAAGUUAAGUGUCGCGAGAGUACACCUACGGAAUUCGUGUUUUUUUUGUUUCGUUGUUUGAUUGGCUUAGACAGGUGGUCGCUCGGUGUCUGGUGAUUGGCAGGGGGCUCAGAAGCAGAGGUCAGAGGGGGGAGGCAGGAUGCAGCAGAGGACCGCGCGCCGGACCGCGAAAGGACCGACAGAGAAUUUCACUGCUGCUGUUGCCUGGUUUCCUCCAUGGGCGUCCGCCGAGGAGGGGCUUCUCCAGCUGAACCCUCUACGGGAGCAUCCAGAGACAGGGAGGGCCGAGAAGAAGCGAGACACACCCACCAAGAUAUGAGUCUGCAUCCAUCUCUCACACAAACAUGAUGAUGACCAGGAGAAUGAUACCUGCAGACUACUCUCAUCAUGCCGGGAUAGGACCUAAUCAACGGAUCCUUGUAGGUAAUGUGAUGAUGAUGAUAAAACAUACGUGAGUGAGUGAAAAACAGUCAUAAAACAGAAUAUAUCUAUCCCAUCUAUAAAACAUUAACCUUCAUUCAAGGUUAGUUUGCUUUAUCCAGCAAUGAUUUCCAUUUGCAUCCGCUAACAAAGUAGCACUAUUUUCUUGUAAAAUGUUAUUUCCAUCAUUUCUUCCUAUGAAAGAAAUUAAAAGUUUCCUUCCAGUACAACCUGUUCUUUGAGCUUCAUGUGCAGCAGUAUUGUGUGGAGGUGAGUGCGGCUUAUGCAAUAACAAAUGUGCUCAUUUCUGUG